This is a long non-coding RNA of Zeugodacus cucurbitae (melon fly), 13828 nucleotides long. RefSeq lists it as uncharacterized. Lineage: Eukaryota; Metazoa; Arthropoda; Insecta; Diptera; Tephritidae. The record is from RefSeq and is a predicted model, not a curated record. The transcript has 3 exons.
GAAUAUAAAUUAAAUUGUUGUGAAGAAGAACAAUAAACAAAUGAAGGUACAUAUUUGACCAUUGGCGUAAAAUGUGCGGAAUGUGCUAAAGGAAAAAAGAAAAGAAUGUAUGAAAAGACAAAACUACACUGCAUACCACAGCGCCGCUAACAACUUGUCCUCAGUAAUGCCCUAAAGAAGCUGCGGAAGCAGAAUAUUUGGCGAAUUUCACGAUGAAAUUUGGGAAGGAAGACAACAAAGCGACGUUCUGAUGGCAGGAUGAUGGGAUGACGGUGAUGAUGUGGCAUCCAACGUGAGGCAAUCGGAAGCGCCUAAUUUGCUUGGAGAGUCUACAAUUAGAGGAGCAGGCAAAAUGGUAGCAAGACGAAGGCCAAGCACAUCGACAAUACUUUAACGCAUCCGUGGAACAACAUAAGCGGACGGAAGUUAAUUGGAUCGUGGGAAAUCUGAAGAGCAAUGCAACGUAUGGCAAGGGCACAUUGCAACCGGUCGCAUAAUGUCUCUAGUCACAUACAAAUCUCGAUUUGUGUGACGCAUUGCUAGUGCACUUUUGACUUCUUGGCACCUACUAAAGCUUAUUGCUGUUGUUGUUGGAUUUUUAUUUCGCUGUUGUACACCAUUGUUGCCGUCGACGCCAAAAUACACGCUUAAAUCAGACACAGGAACCGAAGCCAAAAUUUGAACGUGAAGCGCGCGUUAAGCGCCGAAAAGGAAAAGAAAGAGAGUGCAAGAGAGAGAAGGGAGAAAAUAUACGAAAAUUGCAACGUGGCUUUUGUUGCGACAACGCGUGCAGCAGCGAAAGAGAGUGGAGGAAAACAUUAACAAUGACGAUGCAACAGAGAUAUAAAAAGAUGGUGUUGCACAGACACACAUACAGAGAGUAUACGAGAAUAUCACGACGAGAAUUUGUCAUGCAUAGUACGAAAGCAGCCGAGGUAACAGCAGCAACAGCGGCUUAACAAAAGCAACGCAAUUGGCGGCAACACUGAACUUGCCACACACACAAAGUGCCGUUAAAAUGAUACGCAGAGGCACUAAGUAGAUAGCUACUUAUAUGUGCGGGUGUGACAGAGUGAGUAUUUUGUGUGUAUGAUUGUGGGUCUUUGACUGAAGGUAACUGGCGAACAAAAGGUUGCGUGAGGUUUACACUUGACAAUGGCGGUGGCAAUGCGUAACGCAUACACACACAAACAGAUAUACCAAUUUACACUGAAAGCCAAAGAAUCUGUGCGCACCCAUGCAUUUUAUAGUUGUUUGUGGCAUAUGUGGCAUUGUAUGGCCAACAUCAACAACAUUAGCCUCUCGGUGCCUUCUACAGCUCCUUUAAUAUGGCUUCAACUGGCACUUACACUCAAUUUGAGUUGAUCGUAUGUGAGUGCAAUGGACGCAUGUGGCGAACAACGACGAGAUUCACGUUAUACAAGCGGCAGUAAAUGCUGUAAACAUAUUGGAUGAAAUGGGAAAAAUGAAAAUACGUAGAGAUCGUACAUAUGUACCAGAAGACACUCAAGUUAAACACCUAAUAGGCCUCUGUGAAGUUCGAGUUGGCCUGCAGGUAAAUUAAAUAUCAAAGUAAGUAUUACUAAUACGUUGAAGAAAGCUGCAGUAAAGCAGAAGAAAAUCAAAAAAAGGAAUACAACUUGGAACUAGGAAAUUUAAGGACACUUGUGGCAUAAAUAAUGCAAUACAACAACAGUUAAAGAAAAAGUUGCACUGCGAAAAAGCACAAUAAAAGCAUUAUCACGGUCGAAAGUUUACAAAGCGUUCGCAAAGAAAAAACGCGGAGACAAGUAACUCAGUGAAAUGCAGUAAAGGAGAAGUGUUGAACAAAAGAGCAAAAUAUAAGUAAAGAAAAAUGCAACAUUCAACAUCAACAAGAACUGCCCUGAAAGACGCAUUGAGGAGUCCCUAAAGGGACACUUGUCUCGCGAAGCACUCAGCUAUUGCCACUAAAAGUGUCGCUAAUAGCAUCAAAGUGCCAACAAAUUUGAUUUCCAAGUAAAUGUUGAGAGAUGGAAGUAAACACGGAAUAAGGACGCAGUUAAGCUGAAGAAGUUGAAGUCAAAUAGAGUCAAAUAAAACAAACUUUACAGUGUGAAGUAAGUGUUGGGAAAUAUGAAAUAUAAUAAUUUUACCAGCGGAGUAGUUGAAGGUAGAACUAUUAGAACUAAUUAUUAUGUUUUUAAUGAUAUUAAACAUGCCUCUAAGUUUGCGAGAGCUUUUGGAAAUAUAAUAUUCCAAAUGAAGAGAUUGUAGAAUAUAAUAAUAUAUAGUUCCAUCGCAGAGCAUUUAUUCAGAGUUCAUCUCUUAGUAGCGCCAAAACCGAGUUACUUCCACAGAGUGGGACUCAAACGCCGGUCACCGGAAAGUAUUUUAAGAGCUCUAUGACGUGCUAUCGGACGCUUUUGUUGGAUAUGGAGAUGCAAGAUGUUGUUAUAUGUGUAUACAACAGAACUAAAUAGUUCAAAAGUUUUGUAAGCAUUUAGAAACAAUAUGUUCACUAAUUGAAAACAUGAUGUCUUCCAGUGUCACCUCUUUUAUUAGCUUAUUUAAAUCUACCGAAUAUACUACUAUUACUUUUAUUCGACGUUCGGACGGAGCUUAAAGCUUUCAAAGUCAAAGAAAAGCUUUCAGGUUCAAGAAGAAGUUUGAAAUUUUAGUAAAAGGGGCACGCACUAUUACAUAAUAGAGUAUUAUAGUAUAAUAUAUUUUCUCAAAUGGAGAACGUAAGCCCAUCGCAUCUUGUUGUUCCAUAGCUGGCGCUUUUUUAUAUAUGUGUCCUUAUUCAGGCCAAGGCCAAGAAAGGUUCGUAUAUGGAGGACUGUCGUAGCAAUUAUGCUUUUGGUAAGCAUUACAGACUUAUGUUUAGCUGGUUUCCUUGGUUCCGUGGUUUAUGUUUUUAAAAAAGAAAAGUUUUUUAGUAAUAACAGGGGAGUUCUGGACUUAAAAGCCUAGGUAAGAUCACCAGAACGCUUCGAAGACUAUUUUUGGUCAAAUAUUAAUGACUCAGUAAUUGAACAAAUUUUAAGAAAGAUCCUUCCUAUGUCGAUCAACAUUUUCCUUCCUAAAAACGAAAAGACUGGCAGAGUUGCUGUCAGUGAAGCUCCUAUGGUCAUUCGGUAGAGUUUUAUUUGAAACUUAUGUAAGUAAGAUGGUCUACAGAAACAAACUUUAUAGUUUUCUCGCAUUAGAUAAUUAAAGCAGGUACUAUGAGGAGUUAUUUCAUGAAAUCUAAAGUUCACAACUAGAUUUAUUCUUAUCAGACAAAAAGAACCAGCAUCAAUCGCAAUUGAGUGCAAUCGAAUUCCUCAAUGCUCAACCAAAGCUGUGCAUUCAAAAGACAUUUUAAAAUCCAUUACCCAAAUUUAUGACUGAACUAAGUUAGUAGAGUAGGAACGAGUGAAUCUUCCACUUUUCCAACUAUUUCAUUCCACCAAACCUUUGACAUUCCAUCACAAACAACGAUAGCAAAACGCAUAAAAAAUGCCUACGCAAUAAAUUACCAAAUAGCUGAGGCGUAUACGCAACAUUUUUUCUGCUUCUUUUUCGUGGUACUCAUAUCAAAUCCUGCACAACAGCCAUCGUCGACCUCACUUUUAAUAGCUAUUUUAAGGUUGCGCAGAUUUUUCUCUUUCACUCUUCUACGGCAAUCACUGCUGCUCGUUACUCAAUCGCUAGCCAAUGGCUUAGUGUAACAAUGAUUGUAUAUCAAUGACUGGAGUACAACAACAACAACAAUUUUAGCGCAUAAAAGUUAGCAAGAAAAGCGGAUUUUUCAUUGAUUUUUUUUUGUUUGUUAUUGAUGUAUUUUUCUUUCAUUCGCUCAUACAGCAGGCAGGGUAUUAAUUCAUUUUCUUGCCGCUCGAUUUUUGCAUCGUGCUCCAGCGUCGAUAAAGUAUGCAUGGCAUUUCAAUAGCAGCAAAAACAAUGCAAGAAAAUCGGGUGCAAUAUUGCUGGGAGAAUUCAGUAAAAGCACAACACAACACAGCACAAUAUUAGCAACAGUGGCCAAGCGAGCAGCUGCUGGUCGUAAGCAGUUCCCAAAGCUUCAUUGCAUGAAACUAACAGUUUUUAAGGAGUCAACUAGCUGCUGCUGCACCUGUAGUAAGUAAACUACUCGCAUUUGCAAGCAUACGUUCUAAGUGUCAUAAAAUUUCUUUCUGUUAUACGCCACUUCACUGCUGCAGCUACUGCUCUGCUAUCCAUUAGCCAUCUAUCAGUGUUCAAUCAGCCGCAUUCGCCUUGACCGCGUGCAAAUGUGUGUGUGUCCGUCUACUUGCACAUAAAUAUAUACCAAUAUCGUUCAACUUUCCACUGUAGCCAUGCACAAAAGCUUGACGAAAGGACUUAGUGACUGCUGACUGACAGCAUUUACAGCCGAGCCACCUCCUCCGCAACCGCACUAUCAACCCAACCUCAUCAUAUGGCACACAAACCACUGCGAUUUUUCUCAACGAUUUUAUUCCAUUUGUGGCACUACUACAUAUGCGUGCGCUUGUACGAGUAUUUGUCGACUUUUGUCUCUUUGUAAACGUAUUUGUUAAGUACUGCGUGAGAGCCCUACACCAUCGCCGCAUGAGUGAAGAGUUCACCUUGAGCGCAAAGGCAAACAGAAAUAUGAGUAGUUUAGUAGUUUGUAGGACGAAUGCGGUAAACUACUACAUACAUACGAGAUAUGUUCAAAAACUAACGGGAAUAUUAAUUUUUUGAAAAAAAAUUAUUGAUUCGUCUACAUUUAUGUUCAAAAUAAUCCCAAAUCGAGAUCGUCGAAAUACCUCUCCAACUCGAUUUUUGGACAUCAUUUGGCUCUUUCAGCGAUUUCUAGUAAGCUUCUAGUAAAAUUAUGACACUUUAAGGUUCUCACUACGCUUUGGGAAUAGUAAAGAGUCAGAUAGAGUCAUAAAGAAUAAUGCAAAUGAACGAAAUUUUUAAAUUUUACAAUUCCCUUUAUUUUUUGAACACAUCUCUACUAGUAGUGCGCUUAGUUACAGACCAUUUCUCUGGCAACAAACUACAAUUUUUCUUUUUAUGAUUUUCAUUUUCAUUUUCUAACUUGAAUUUUUAUUAUAUUUUUUAAGCCCUCGCUCCCUUUACAUUUACCUUCAAGUAACAAAAGCGGGUUUUAUGUGGUUUUUUGGUCUGUCAUUGUGGCCGAAAACGAGAAAACAUAUGUGCAUUUGUAAUGGUUGACAUCAUUGUUGUAACCACUUAUUUGCAUGGCUUGAAUUUGUACAUAAAUCGGAAUGGACAUUUAAACAUCCACACAUGCAUAUACAUAUACUUUUCAGACACUGAGUGGUGCUUGGUUGCAGUUCUAAAAGCAAUUUAAAUUCUAUUUAACCUCACUUUAUGCUGUUGAGUGCAGUAAUAAAUAAAACAUAUCACUUAGCACCACACAAAAUUUCUCUUUACAGUAAAUUAAGUAUUUCCCUUACGUAUUUAUUUUAAUUGUUCAGGAAGAAUUUCAAAUAAUUGAUUUAAGUGAUCACUUAUCAAAAUUUGAGAUGAAAUGACGUCAGAAAAAUAAAUAGAGACAGCACAAUUGGCUUAUUGUUUCAAUACUUCUAGCUUUCUUUAAAUAUCUGUUUCUCCCCCCGCUUUUUCUCUAUCUCCAUUACUUUUCUCCUCUUUGUUUACAUAUAUAUCACCCUCUCUCUUUCUCUAUCCCAAUUUCACUCUCUCGCUCCCUUAAAAAAUAGAUCUCUCUAUCUAACCCUAUCCCUUUAUAUAACUCUAAAUUUUUCUAACACUCUUUAUUUAUCUUUCCCUACCUCUCCUUCUUUACAUCCCUCGACCUCACUUCCAAUCAACCUUAUUUUAUUUUAAGAAGAUAUAUUUAAUUUCAAAAAACAAGUAAAAGAAUUUGUUAAUUGUAGAUACAAAUUUUUCUUUGUCAUAAAGACAUUAAAUCAGAUUAUUUUAAAAUUAGUUUUUUGCACUGCAAAAAUAUUUACAUAUCUUAACAAAUUCCAGCUUAUCUCUCAAAUGAUUAAUUGGUUUAAACAAACUAAAUUGUAACACUUUCAACACCGUAAUUCAGGCGAAUGCAUUGCUAUACAAGCUGCAGCCUGUAGCUGAUUGACUACAAAGUUAUAGUGUGUACAUAGCUCGGUUUGUGCUAUAUUUUGCAAAUGCUCGUAUAUGUGUUUGGUGCUCCAAAGUAUGCAAUCAACAAUGCAACGAAACGAAAUAUCUUCUCCACACACCAAAAAUUCACAAAUAAUUCGCACAAAAUGAAAGAUUUAUAACAAGCAGCCGACUAGGCAGUCGAGUCAGAGGCACGCUAGACAGUCAGAAGAGUGUGAAAGAGAUAGGAAAAGAGAGAGAGGUGAUUGGGCGCUGAUACUAGUGUGUAGUGAAAUAAAAUACAAAUUCGAAAAUUUUUGCAUUCUUGAUUUCAAGUUCUCUCGAACUGCUGCUCAGGAAUGUAGCUUAUAUGCUUCUGCUACUGCUGGAAAAUAUGCAGUUAUUGCAUUUAGAUUUUACGACUCAAAAUGUAAAUUAUGUAAAUUAUCAGCAUAGUCUAAAGAUAAUAUCUAGCUUAGUAGUAUGAUUAAGAAGUAAAGAGAAUUGGAUUAAAUAUUAAUAGUGUCAGAUAUUGAGAUUGAACUAUACUUAGAAAUCUAAUAAGAUGUUUCAUAAAGACUCUAAGAGAACAAAUAUAUGCUUAGAGAACUUUUAAAAAUUCAAAUGGUGGGAUCUGGAGAUAUUCAGAGAAAGGACUUUGUUGGCAUAUAGGCGUUGUAUGAUGAAUGAGAUUUCCAUCUAUCAAAACAAAUUACAUUUACACUUUGCCUGAAGUAUACAUAGGACUCAAUCCCCAUUAAUUCUGAAGAACAGGUCGAAUAAAUUUCUUUACGGGGCCUAAUAUAGCUUCGUCAUGCAUCAAGCAGCAAAGAAAAAUUGGUAAUACAACAAUAACAUGGAAAUCUAAUUAGAUGUUGCGUAGUAUGUUCCCAACAAAGUUCGAUAAUUUUGUUUAAGUUAUGAUUUGGAGUUGCCGGACUGAAAAAUAUGUUAAAUGUGAAGACUAAGGAAUAUUUUUCUUACUUUAACAUAAACAAUUUUUGCAAUCAACGUUUUGUACUUACAACAAUUUAAUAAUGACCGAAAAUUGAUGCCGAAUACUUUUAUGCUUACCUGUAAUGAAAAAUGGAUAUUCAUUUCAAAUUAGUUGAUUAAUAAUAAAUAGAAAUGUUCAAUAUUUAAAGCUAAAACCAAAUAUUUUCUAUAUAAUAUUUAUCUCAGCAAACUAAUAAAAUAAAAAAUAGAGUUGCCACAAUUUUUCUUACAUACGAAUUAAGAAAUCAAAAAAUGUUCUAAUUUAGACGAAAUCGACAACCUUCAAAAUGACAUAAAAAAUUAAAACUGUCAUAACAAUAGAAAAAUUGAAAUGUUUGUUUGCGAAAUUAUAAAAAAUGGCAAUUGCUUGCUGCUCACUGCUCGAUUUAAAAAAUAUGCACUUUUUGGGAAAAACAGUGAGCAUUUAACAGCAACAUGUCCUUUUCUUCAUUUACAUAAUUUAAAAUUCUAUAUCUACAAAUGUUUGCUGCGCAUAUCUGGCACAUUCAAAUAAAAAAAUUUUGCAUUUUGCAUGCAUUAUGCUUUUGUCGGCCACUUUGAAGACUGUUGUGCAAAUACAGCCUGCUGCUGUGCCACAAUUUAUACAAAUACACAUUGUAAGCAUUGCAUAUUCAAGCAGCUAGAGGUCACAGUCAUGUGACGUAUGUGUGCAAAUAGCCAAAUAUAGAACUAAGAUGCCAAGAACUGGAUUGCCUACACUUUCAGAAGGCAGAAUUUGCAUGCUUAAGAAUAAGAAUAUGUAAACGCCUGGCAACACUGCGCCUCAUCGGGUCACUCAACGCAAGAGUACACGGGUGUUGCCAGAUGCGGCUACUUGAUUGUAUUUCCUUGGCAUUUCCUAGCCAAGCAGUUAGCUGCUUAUCGAGUUUACUGAUAAAGCGUUUACUUUAGUUGUAGUUGGAGUUUUUUGGGUUUUAGUGCAAAGUUACUCAACUCAACAACUUUGCAUGCCUUCGUCUUAUUGCACAUGUUCCUUGUAUUUGUACUGGACUUUUUCAGUAUUCACGCAGUUGUAGUUCUUGUGUUGUCCCUUGUAUUUUACUUGCCGCUCUUAUCUGCUGCUUUCGUUUCUGCCAAAUUUGAAUUGCUUGCUGCUCGCUGUUCACUUGAUUGUUUGUCGGCAACAUGUUUUUUGGUAUUUGUUGUUGUAGGAUUCUUGCAAAUGCAAGCGCUUGAUUGUUGUUUUUUUCUUUUCCUUAAAUUUCACAGACAAAUAUUGAGGUUGCUCAUACGCCCCAACACCCCACACACAGCGCAAGGCUCACCCGCCGCCAACCAAAACUUAGUGGCAACAAGACAGUCGAUGAAUAUCAGCGGCAAGUGCACAACAAUGGCAAACAAUAGAUUUAACCGUUGUUGCGUUGUGCACAGCUAAAGAAACAUUUUGUGGAAAGUCUAGCGCGGGGAGUCCCCUGUUGCGUGGCAAGUUUUUGUUGAGGAGUGGAGGGGUAAAAAUUUUGCACAAACUUAUUAUUUACUUCGAAGGACACAAGUGAUGUAAUGUUACUAUGUAAAGCGGAUUGCUCGAGAGCUUAAUGUUGAACAAACACACACAAACACACACUUACACAGAAACUAACAGAAAAUUUGCCUUGCCUUCAUCCACAGAGCGUAUAUGCCACUUGCCACUACACAGGCAGCCAACUUAACUGCAUACAGUGUGUUUAGCGGCAUAUGUGGACUGGUUCUUUGUUGCCUGCUGCUGGCUUUAGUAGUUUGAAGUCGGAAUUUUCAAAAUUUUUGUUGUUUUCUUUUUGUUGUUGUUAUAUUGCCUACUAUUGCUUUUAUUGUUGUGAAAUUGCGGAAAUCAAGUGUGUUUGGAGCAGCUGUUUUAUGCUACUAUGCUAGGUGCUAGCAUAUUCUUGAUAUUCUUGUAGGAAUAGAUUUAUGGAAAAAAGAUAGUUGAUCUUGGAAGUCGAACUAAUAGAAAAAUGCAAAAUGAAAUUUGAGACUUAAAGUUGUUGAGGCAAUUAGGGAACAAUAAUGGAAGUUCUACUUUUAUAUGAUGAGAGUGCUCCCAAAAACGAAUGUCGUUGAUAUCUUUUUUUCUUCUUUGGCACUAUAAUCGUGGGCCGUUUUGGACCGAGAACAUAAAACUUCAUCAUUUGCUUAUAUCCUUUGCGAAGUCACACUAGUUGUAAAUUCCAAAAGUUCCCCAAGCAUUUGGUCCUUCUAGGGGAUGCGUGGAUGUCCAUGCUUAUUUGAUGAGCACUCAUGGGGCAUUCGUUGAAUUUUUGUGCGCUUUAUUAUAUCCAUGCGCCGUAGAACUUAUACAAUUAAUGGUUCCACCUUAUUCAGUAAUCAAUGAUCACGCGUACAUCACCAAAGAUCUUAGAGGGAACAGUUCUCUCGAAUGUUACAAGUGUUUUCUUAUCUCGGUUCGUCAUGAUAGGAGGGAAUGAUUAGAUACAGAACCCAAAGCAGCUGGUUUGGCAUACUUUUACCACUUAUACUGUCUACUUAAUGGAUAUCCAUCCCAUAUUGUGGUAUUAUUAAUGAAAUUUCAUUCGAGAAGGGAGGGUAUUAGUUAUAAUCAAGAGGGCUGCAUGGGCUAAAUAAAAAUAAAUAAAAAGACAACUUGCAUGUCAAUCAGAACCUAAUAUUCUAACUCUACUGUGUAGUCUAGUUUUGAACUUUUUCUACUUUCUUUGUUUUCCUUUAAAACUUUUCUCUCCCUCAAAUUUCUCUCAAGACCUUCACUUCUAUUCUAUUACCACCAUUUAUAUAACAAUAGGACUAUGACAACAAGUACUCAAACAAAGAGCAAUAAAAAAAUAAACUACAACAAAUAAAGAGUGAACCCAACCAAAUGCGUUCUUAUUCAAGAAACAUUGUAAAAAUAAAAAAUCUUAUGAAAAACGUAACAAAAAACUUAAGGCAAAGUAAACUAAAACUAAGUCAACAAGAAACAAAGCAAAAACUGUAAGUUGCACAACAAAGGAACCGAGUAAUUGAAACGCAGAUAAACGUAGAAAGAUCAUAAUAACGGUAAAAUGCUUGAUGAAAAGAUGAAACUGAAAAUGAUGCCACGGCUACAAAAAAGGGUUAGACGAAAACAUCAAAAAUACAAUAUAAUUGCGUAACUGUAAAUGUGACAAUGGAAUUGUAGGCGAACGAAGCGAGCGAACGAAGGACACACGAACACAUAAGUGGGGAAAUAAAAUGCAUAUAACUGCACUUUAAGCGCAAGACGAAGGCAAAAAUUGGAGCCGGUAAACCAUAAAGAGGAAGAGGAAGCAAAGCUAACAUAUAUAUAUGGGAAUAAAGAGGUGAUAUAUCUGUUUCAAAUAGCUGUACGAUUGAAAGCUAAGUCAUAUUCUUUAAAGUGGACAUGAAAUAAAUGGAUUAACGGUAAUAAAGAAGCUGGUUUGUGGUUUUUAAAGGAUAGUAAGGUUGUUAAUUGGCUGAACAGUGGCAUUUUGACUUAAACGAGACUGAACUCUGAGAUCGUCAUACAUUUCAGUAUUAAUCGUUGCUUUUCUUUCAUUAUUUUCCUUCUGAUAUCCCCAUUGGCAGAACGACGGAAAUGAAAGUCAUUGUCUACUCACCAGCAUCGAUUGUAUCGGUGCACUGCUUUUGUCGACUGCGUCAACUGCAACCGUUACAGCUUUCUGCUACCAUUCUUGUUCUUUAUACAUAAGCAAGUGUUUUAUAUAUGGUUAUGUUGUUCUUUUGGCAAAAGCUUUCGGCGUUUUUUAUUAUGACUUCCGCGCUGCCAGCAGUUUUCGUAUUUUAACGUUACAUCAGACAAGUUGGAAUUUUAUGAUGACAACGCUGCCGAAAGUUGACAAUUCAAUGUGGUGCAGGACCAAUAACGUUGGCUCAAAGAUAAAUUUUUAAAGCUUAGCAAAUAUUUUUCUUCUUCAUUUUAUUCUCGUUUCUUACUCUUCUCCAUACAAAAUUUGUAUUCUAAAUAUUUUAUUCUUUAACUAUCUUCCUCUCCUCUAAGAGCAGCCAUCCACCGCUAGUUAAUGAAAUCAGUUGCGCUUGGCUAAUACCUCGUGGCACGUGACUACCGGCACUUCACUUUGUCUAUGAUAGGGCAACAACAACACUCAAAGAAAGAAAUACAAACAACUACCAGUUGCGGUGCCAAUGAUAGCCAAGUAACACCGAAAAUAAACAGCACAGAAGAAUAGAUAAAAAAUAUGUGAAGAAAGCACCUAAAAACAAAAACGACAGAGUCAAAAGCAGUCAAGCAAAUCUACAAAGCCAGUGAAGUCAGUGAAGCGAGACAGUGUUGGUAUGCGCGAGACAAAACUUGUUAAUGGAGACAGUGAGGUGAACUAAAGAGAAUAAAGAGAAAAAAGAAAACAAAGAGUAUACGAAAAUCGAGAAGACAAUGAUGGAAGAAGCGUCUAAGCUUAGAGGGUCAGGUUCUUAAAAAAAAAUGUUUUCUCCCAUUUUUCUUUGCAUUUCCUCAAAACUGUUGGUUUUGACUUGUCAGCUUUCAUGUGUUUUUGAAAGGCUUCCCACAAAAAGUGCUCAUGAGAAGUUCUCGAUUUGAUUGAAAGUUCUUUUUCUCUUCCUCACUUAUGUUUGUUUUUCAUUCUUUUUGUUGCUAUUGUUUCUUAUUUGCUGCCAGCUGAUAAACCACUCAUCAUCUCUUUACCAAAGCAUGGUAUGCAUUCUAGUAAGCCUUCAUUAUGUCUCUGCUGUUUGAAGUUGUGUUGUUGCGCUGUCUUUCUUUUUUUGGCGAGUUUCUUCUAUUUAAUUCUUCUAUUUAGUAAAGACUUUUGCAGACAUGAGCAACAACCAUACCAGCAAAAGGAUGGCUAAUAAUGAGAAGACAGCAAAAAGCAGUGGCAACGCAAAGACAACAACAAUAAAAACAGCAACUGGCUAGCAGACAACGAAAGUAUUGUGACUACAUUGCCAUUAGAUGACAAUAACAAUAACAACAACAUUGAGUUGUUUGUUGCCGCCACUUUAAAUGCAUACGUACUAUUGUUGGGAGGCGAAGAAAAAAUGAAAAAUAUAAAACAAAAAUAACAAAAAAAACUCCAAUAGUUUGGCUAAGUUUGCUUUUUUGCUCUUAUUUUCUUCGUUUAACUAUUGUAAAUGUGAAUGCCAAAAAAAAUUAGAAGCAAACAACAACAAAAUUGUAACUUGUCAGCAACUCAACUUAAUUAAAAGUAGCUCAAAACAACAACAAUAACAACAACAACAAACAAUUUAAAAUAAAAAAAUAGAGGAAAAAUUUUUUUCUUAAAAAAUAAUUUAAAAAAAUAAUAACAAAAACUUUUAUUAUUGACUGCUCAUUGCUACGAUAAGUUAACUUACUAAGUCUCAAAUUAUAUUGAGUUUUUAGGUGUGUCGAAGUAAAUUUAAGUAGUAAGAAAAACUUGUGAAAUUAAGAAAGUACGCUUGAGUAGCUAAUAUUUCAAUAAAAAGUUAAAGCAAAUGCCACUCGAGUUGCCGCUGUUGGGUUGCGAAGUGACUGUUGAUGAGGUCAGCAGGCGAUUUCUUAAUCCAGCUGCUACGAAAACUAUCAGAACUUUCCUUCAGAGAAGUUUUUCAGUGGUCAAAAAUUUUAGAAUUUGCCUUACGGUUAAGUAUGAUUAAUUAUUGGACUAAUCUCCGCUACAAUUUAGGUCAACCAUAACUUUACUUUCAUGUACACUAACUUAAUUUUAAUGUCUGAUCUAAAGUUUAGGUCACCUCCCAAAACUUCUUAGGCACAAAAUAGUAAUUUGACAGCAUUUAAAACAUGUUAAUUCUAAAUAACACCACUCAUAUUUACACAAUAUAAAUUUACACGCCUUGGGACCAAAUAUUAUUUGCAGCAACUUUCCUAUGAUUUAUACAUACUUCAAAUCUACAUAACAAUAUUAUUGGCUCACCACAUUACCGAGUACUCUCCCAAGCACUAAUUAAUAAUAUUCCCUACGAAAAUUUCAGUAGUUUCAAGUAUAUAUUUACGAUAUUACAAAUAGGCAUACUGAUAUUUGCCGGUCUGCCCAAUGAAGUUUCAUCUGCAGUGUCUUAAGUCAGGAAGCUUCGUUCUCAGUAAGCAACACCUUAACCACUUGUUGUUGAGGCAAACAGAUGCCAGCCAACUUACAUGAACUUCAUGACAAGUUUGUAUGUAAAUAUGUAUUUUAUGAAGUGAUGCCUUUUGAGUAAAACUUGACAAAUGUUGCAAGCAGCUUAUCGAAAUGUGAGUGAGAGUGUAAGUUGCAAUCGAAAGUCAUAAUGGCAACAGCAAAAGGUUGACAAAAUAUUUAUGUCUCGAAGUAAAUGACGUGGUUUCAUAUAACCAGGAAGCAAACAAGUUGUUGUAUAUAUGCACAUAUGUAUUAAUGUUUCUCCUCCAAUAAGACAAUAUGCAUGUGAGUAGAUGGUUUAUUAGUACAAAUGAUUAUGAAUAAAUAACUAAGAGCGAUCUUAAUCCAAUGAUAUUUGCUUAGGAAAGUGUGCUUAAUUAAAGCAGCUUUCGAAUGGAUGAGGAAUGUCGGAACAAUAUUGCUUUUGUUUCAACUUCAAGUGGAGAUAUGUUGGUGUGUGCUUAAAUAUUUAUUGAAAUCACUAACAUACUUACAGGAUUUUGAGGAUAUUUAGUUGAAUAUAUGACCUUUAAAGAGUAUAUGGGUUUCCAAAUUGGGCCGAUUGUACAUUAAUGAAUUUAUCUAAUAAUUGAUACCCAAUAUGACAUUUUAUAGAAUACCAUAAACCAUAGACGUUUAAAUGAACGAUUAUUCUUAGUAGACCCCUUUUAAAAAUGUCAAAGAUAUUUAAUAUAUUA